UCUCCGUUGGUGAACCAGCGGAGGGAUCAUUAGCGAGUUGUAAAACUCCCAAACCAUUGCGAACGUACCUGCCGUUGCCUCGCCGCCAGCGUCCCCGCCAGGGAGCGUCGGCGGCGGCGGCUGACCAAACUCUUGUAUUUACAGGCCUCUCUGAGUACACUUAUAACAAGUCAAAACUUUCAACAACGGAUCUCUUGGUUCUG
RNAcentral lists this unclassified non-coding RNA (203 nucleotides) under root metagenome. RNAcentral's name for it is "partial contains small subunit ribosomal RNA, internal transcribed spacer 1, and 5.8S ribosomal RNA". The record is from RNAcentral.